UACAGAGGGUGCAAGCGUUGUUCGGAAUUACUGGGCGUAAAGCGCACGUAGGUGGCUUGGCAAGUCGGGUGUGAAAUCCCCGGGCUCAACCUGGGAACUGCAUUCGAGACUGCCUUGCUCGAGUAUGGGAGAGGGAAGUGGAAUUUCCGGUGUAGCGGUGAAAUGCGUAGAUAUCGGAAGGAACAUCAGUGGCGAAGGCGACUUCCUGGACCAAUACUGACACUCAGGUGCGAAAGCGUGGGGAGCAAACAGG
RNAcentral lists this ribosomal RNA (253 nucleotides) under uncultured bacterium. Its description in RNAcentral is "partial 16S ribosomal RNA". It matches the Rfam family "Bacterial small subunit ribosomal RNA", at positions 524 to 776 of the family's 1533-position model. The record is from RNAcentral.